AUUAACGUCGAUGCCGACGACAACAUUUAGGUUUAUUUUGGACAAUGGUCAUGCAAGCGAUUGUGAUAUAUACUGAACUUAGGCGUCGUGCACGACAUCUUCCAAGAGCUCCUCAUACAAAUUGGAAUUCUAAAAGAGAAAUAACACUUAUAAGAAUGUUUGGCACGAGUGAUACAAUAUGUCGUGAUCUCCUUAGGAUGAAAAUAGGUCUAUUUCAAAGAUUAUGUGCUCGUUUGCGAACUUAUGGAUUGGUUGACAGUAAAUACGUUCGAAUUGAGGAACAAGUCGCAAUUUUUUUGAAUACAAUCGGGCAUGACCAAUGUAAUCGUGCUGGACAUUUUACUUUCUUCCGCUCUGGUCAAACAGUGAGCUUUCACUUUCACAGAGUCUUACACGCUUGUCUUGGACUAUACAGAGAUGUUGUGAUUAAUGCCACUCCUCAUAACUCACCAUACGAAAAAGAAAAUGUGCAGCCAUGGUACUCCUUUUUUUAGGAUGCCGUAGGAGCAAUCGAUGGUACACAUAUUGCUACGUAUGUGCCUUUAGAGGAGCAAGUUGGGAGGGAUCCACACAUGAUGGUCGAUUGUUACGGAGUGCAAUAUUACGCUAAGGACAUAAGCUAACAUUUCUGUUGGUAAGUUGUGUCACUAUUUUGAAAACAUUUCCCUCCACACAUAAGUUAUAAUAAUUACCUAAUUACUAUCUUUUGAACGACUCUUUCCUAGAUAAAUAUUAUCUUGUUGAUGCUGGCUUCCCAUCGGUUCCGGAUUUUCUUGCACCAUACCGUAGGACUCAUUAUCAUUGUAGAGACAUUGAAGGUCAAUGUUCUGAAAUUAGUAAGGAGUUGUUCAAUUUUUGACAUUCAUCUCUACGUAAUGUUAUUGAGUGUACAAUUGGUUUGCUGAAAAAAACGAUUUGCAUAUUUGAGGCAUCAACCCUGUCACGACAUUGAUACACAAGCAAAGAUAGUCCUUGCCUAUUCUACCAUCCACGUUUUGCCUGUUAUCCCCCGAUCAUGAUGAAAUGUGCAUAAAGUUGAUGGUCAAAAUGAGGAUACGGAUCCAAGCCCCAUUCACGCUCCUAAGCAUAACGUCGAAGGAGGAACUAACAAAGUUCGCCGUCGACGUACCCAACGUAAUGAUGAGACUCUCGUUGCCCUAUCAUUGCCGAAUCAUCUAAAAAAAUUGCUAAUGCUAUGGAGACUCAAGCAACAUUAGAUACGCUAAACCACAUCAAUUGGCAGUUGAUUCUAGAAAAAUUACAAGGCAUGAGUAUAGAAAAGCAUGACAUAAUGCAAGUAAUGAAAAUAUUUCGAUUGGAUGAGAGUCUGGCUAGAGUAUUUAUGGGUUUGACUGAUGAAAAAUUCAUGCGUGAUUUAGCAUUUGAGAAUUUGGGCCGUGAUCCACCUCCACUAUUUUAAAAUGACUUGCUUUGAUAAUUCAACAAACAUAUGUGAAAGUAUGACAUCUAUGUUGAUUUUAUCUGCUAUUUUCUUA
Long non-coding RNA from Olea europaea var. sylvestris, 1496 nucleotides. RefSeq lists it as uncharacterized. The record is from RefSeq and is a predicted model, not a curated record. The transcript is spliced from 4 exons. NCBI's taxonomy places the organism in Eukaryota, Viridiplantae, Streptophyta, Magnoliopsida, Lamiales, Oleaceae.